GACGAACGCUGGCGGCGUGCUUAACACAUGCAAGUCGAACGGACAGGCCAUGAUUUUGUUGCGUGCUCGAGUGGCGAACGGGUGAGUAACACGUGAGUAACCCGCCCUUGUCUUUGGGAUAACUUCAGGAAACUGGGGCUAUUACCGGAUAGGAGCUCCUGCUGCACGGUGUGGGUUAGAAAGUUUCGGCGGUUGGGGCUGGACUCGCGGCUUAUCCGCUUGUUGGUGGGGUAGUGGCUGACCAAGGCUUUGACGGGUAGCCUGCCUGAGAGGUUGACCGGCCACAUUGGGACUGAGAGACGGCCCAGACGCCUACGGGAGGCAGCAGGGGGGAAUAUUGCACAAUGGGCGGAAGCCAGAUGCAGAAACGCCGCGUGCGGGAUGACGGCCUUCUGGUGGAAAACCGAUUUCGCCUGUGACGAAGCGUGAGUGACGGUAAUGGGUAAAGAAGCACCGGCUAACUACGUG
Molecule: ribosomal RNA, 468 nt
Filed under: uncultured bacterium
Lineage: Bacteria
Description: partial 16S ribosomal RNA
Rfam family: Bacterial small subunit ribosomal RNA
Source: RNAcentral